UCCCUUGUGGCUCAGCUGGUAAAGAAUCCGCCUGCAAUGCGGGAGACCUGGGUUUGAUCCCUGGGAUGGGAA
This 72-nucleotide transfer RNA is filed under the name Bos taurus (domestic cattle). It matches the Rfam family "tRNA". From Rfam's summary of the family: Transfer RNA (tRNA) molecules are approximately 80 nucleotides in length. Lineage: Eukaryota; Metazoa; Chordata; Mammalia; Artiodactyla; Bovidae. The record is from Rfam by way of RNAcentral. RNAcentral also lists the same sequence under 4 other names.